GUAGUCGUGGCCGAGUGGUUAAGUCGAUAGACUAUAAAUCCAUUGGGCUCUUCCCGCGCAGGUUCGAAUCCUGCCGACUACG
This 82-nucleotide transfer RNA is filed under the name Saccoglossus kowalevskii. RNAcentral describes it as "tRNA-Tyr". It matches the Rfam family "tRNA". From Rfam's summary of the family: Transfer RNA (tRNA) molecules are approximately 80 nucleotides in length. Their secondary structure includes four short double-helical elements and three loops (D, anti-codon, and T loops). Further hydrogen bonds mediate the characteristic L-shaped molecular structure. tRNAs have two regions of fundamental functional importance: the anti-codon, which is responsible for specific mRNA codon recognition, and the 3' end, to which the tRNAs corresponding amino acid is attached (by aminoacyl-tRNA synthetases). tRNAs cope with the degeneracy of the genetic code in two manners: having more than one tRNA (with a specific anti-codon) for a particular amino acid; and 'wobble' base-pairing, i.e. permitting non-standard base-pairing at the 3rd anti-codon position. Lineage: Eukaryota; Metazoa; Hemichordata; Enteropneusta; Harrimaniidae. The record is from RNAcentral.